This 408-nucleotide ribosomal RNA is filed under the name uncultured bacterium. RNAcentral describes it as "partial 16S ribosomal RNA". It matches the Rfam family "Bacterial small subunit ribosomal RNA", at positions 28 to 526 of the family's 1533-position model. The record is from RNAcentral.
GACGAACGCUGGCGGCGUGCUUAACACAGGCAAGUCGAACGGAGUGGCGAACGGGUGAGUAAAACGUGGGUGAUCUGCCUUGGACUUCGGUAUAAGCUUGGGAAACUGGGUCUAAUACCGGAUUGUGCAAGAUGAGCCCGCGGCAUAUCAGCUUGUGGGUGGGGUAAUGGCCUCCCAAGGCGUCGACGGGUAGCCGGCCUGAGAGGGUGUACGGCACACUUGGGACUGCGUGAAAGCCCAGACUCCUACGGGGAGCCGCAGUGGGGAAUAUGGCGCAAUGGGCGGAAGCCUUAACCAGCGACGCAUCGUGGGGGAUGUAGGCCUUAGGAUUGGAAACUCCUUUCGACAGGGACGCGGUACCUGUAUAAGAAGCACCGGCUGACUACGUGCCAGCAGCCGCGGUAAUUC